Molecule: non-coding RNA, 106 nt
Organism: Spinacia oleracea (spinach)
Lineage: Eukaryota; Viridiplantae; Streptophyta; Magnoliopsida; Caryophyllales; Amaranthaceae
Source: Rfam
AGACCAUGGUGUGGGCACUCUCUCUGUAAAUCUCAGAACCUUUUCCAAACUUCAAAUAAGCUUUCAUCUGCCUGUUGUGUGAUGGAAAUAAUUUGGCUCCUUAGAU